RNAcentral lists this ribosomal RNA (217 nucleotides) under uncultured Sphingobacteriales bacterium. Its description in RNAcentral is "partial 16S ribosomal RNA". It matches the Rfam family "Bacterial small subunit ribosomal RNA", at positions 1166 to 1382 of the family's 1533-position model. The record is from RNAcentral. Lineage: Bacteria; Pseudomonadati; Bacteroidota; Sphingobacteriia; Sphingobacteriales.
GAGGAAGGUGGGGAUGACGUCAAAUCAGCACGGCCCUUACGUCCAGGGCUACACACGUGCUACAAUGGCCGGUACAAAGGGCAGCUACCUGGUGACAGGAUGCUAAUCUCAAAAGCCGGUCUCAGUUCGGAUCGGAGUCUGCAACCCGACUCCGUGAAGUUGGAUUCGCUAGUAAUCGCGCAUCAGCCAUGGCGCGGUGAAUACGUUCCCGGGCCUU